ACGUAGGGUGCGAGCGUUAAUCGGAAUUACUGGGCGUAAAGCGUGCGCAGGCGGUUUUGUAAGCCAGAUGUGAAAUCCCCGGGCUUAACCUGGGAAUGGCAUUUGGGACUGCAAGGCUAGAAUCUGGCAGAGGGGGGUAGAAUUCCACGUGUAGCAGUGAAAUGCGUAGAUAUGUGGAGGAAUACCGAUGGCGAAGGCAGCCCCCUGGGUUGAGAUUGACGCUCAUGCACGAAAGCGUGGGGAGCAAACAGGAUUAGAUACCCUGGUAGUCCACGCCCUAAACGAUGUCAACUGGUUGUUGGGGAAUUGAUUUCCUUAGUAACGAAGCUAACGCGUGAAGUUGACCGCCUGGGGAGUACGGUCGCAAGAUUA
RNAcentral lists this ribosomal RNA (372 nucleotides) under uncultured bacterium. RNAcentral's name for it is "bacterial SSU rRNA". It matches the Rfam family "Bacterial small subunit ribosomal RNA", at positions 525 to 896 of the family's 1533-position model. The record is from RNAcentral.